This 465-nucleotide ribosomal RNA is filed under the name Vreelandella stevensii. Its description in RNAcentral is "partial 16S ribosomal RNA". It matches the Rfam family "Bacterial small subunit ribosomal RNA", at positions 338 to 795 of the family's 1533-position model. Lineage: Bacteria; Pseudomonadati; Pseudomonadota; Gammaproteobacteria; Oceanospirillales; Halomonadaceae. The record is from RNAcentral.
CCUACGGAGGGCUGCAGUGGGGAAUAUUGGACAAUGGGGGGAACCCUGAUCCAGCCAUGCCGCGUGUGUGAAGAAGGCCCUCGGGUGGUAAAGCACUUUCAGUGAGGAAGAACGCCUGGUGGUUAAUACCCAUCAGGAAAGACAUCACUCACAGAAGAAGCACCGGCUAACUCCGUGCCAGCAGCCGCGGUAAUACGGAGGGUGCGAGCGUUAAUCGGAAUUACUGGGCGUAAAGCGCGCGUAGGUGGCUUGAUAAGCCGGUUGUGAAAGCCCCGGGCUCAACCUGGGAACGGCAUCCGGAACUGUCAAGCUAGAGUGCAGGAGAGGAAGGUAGAAUUCCCGGUGUAGCGGUGAAAUGCGUAGAGAUCGGGAGGAAUACCAGUGGCGAAGGCGGCCUUCUGGACUGACACUGACACUGAGGUGCGAAAGCGUGGGUAGCAAACAGGAUUAGAUACCCUGGUAGUC